RNAcentral lists this ribosomal RNA (620 nucleotides) under uncultured bacterium. RNAcentral describes it as "bacterial SSU rRNA". It matches the Rfam family "Bacterial small subunit ribosomal RNA", at positions 518 to 1134 of the family's 1533-position model. The record is from RNAcentral.
CGGUAAUACAGAGGUCUCAACCGUUGUUCGGAUUCAUUGGGCGUAAAGGGUGCGUAGGCGGUCGUGUAAGUCGGAUGUGAAAUCCCGGGGCUCAACCCCGGAACUGCAUUCGAUACUGCAUGGCUAGGGUACUGGAGAGGAGACUGGAAUUUACGGUGUAGCAGUGAAAUGCGUAGAUAUCGUAAGGAAGACCAGUGGCGAAGGCGAGUCUCUGGACAGUUACCGACGCUGAGGCACGAAGGCCAGGGGAGCAAACGGGAUUAGAUACCCCGGUAGUCCUGGCAGUAAACGGUGCACGUUUGGUGUAGGAGGAUUCGACCCCUUCUGUGCCGGAGCUAACGCGUUAAACGUGCCGCCUGGGAAGUACGGUCGCAAGAUUAAAACUCAAAGAAAUUGACGGGGGCCCGCACAAGCGGUGGAGUAUGUGGCUUAAUUCGAUGCAACGCGAAGAACCUUACCAGGGUUUGACAUGUAUUGUGUCGGCGAUGAAAGUCGCCUAGCUAUAGCAAUAUAGCGCUUUACACAGGUGCUGCAUGGCUGCCGUCAGCUCGUGUCGUGAGAUGUUGGGUUAAGUCCCGCAACGAGCGCAACCCCUGUGUCCUGUUGCCAACCCUUCGGGG